AAAAUAGAGAACCAUCUCCAAGUUGUGUUGGUUUGUCCAAUGGAAUUAGAAGUAAUGGAGAAAUUUGUAUUCCUCAGUGAAAAUAUGGUAGGUAGGAGUCAUGUGCCACCAAGAUCCUGAAAUCUGGAUUGUAUGUACACUGUGACAGAAGCAUGGUCUGUUGAUGUGAACUAGUGAAGAUCCUAGGUUGCUAAUAGGACCACAGUUAAAGGGGCAUUUGUGUGGUUGUAAAGAAAUCCUUCUCUGGGAAGCUGUGGUGAGAAGGAUUCUAUGCUGUACUGCCUGCGUCAGGUUCUCUGGCAAGACCUUCACAACUUUGGUGUCCUGGAGGAUAAUGCAACCUGGGGUAAAAAGGCUGGGACCCCGCUCCACCUUGCCACCUGCCAGCCGUGAGGUCUUGGUUGAGCGAGCAUCUUUG
Molecule: long non-coding RNA, 418 nt
Organism: Myotis davidii
Lineage: Eukaryota; Metazoa; Chordata; Mammalia; Chiroptera; Vespertilionidae
Exons: 3
Source: RefSeq, a predicted model, not a curated record